GCGGCACGCCUAACACAUGCAAGUCGAACGGAAUAAGUAGCUUCGGUUAUUUAUUGAGUGGCGGACGGGUGAGUAACACGUGGGAACCUGCCCAGUAGUGGGGGCUAACUGUUGGAAACGACAGGUAAUACCGCAUACGCCCUUCGGGGGAAAGAUUUAUCGCUAUUGGAUGGGCCCGCGGUGGAUUAGGUAGUUGGUAGGGUAAAGGCCUACCAAGCCAAUGAUCCAUAGCUGGUUUGAGAGGACGACCAGCCACACUGGGACUGAGACACGGCCCAGACUCCUACGGGAGGCAGCAGUGGAGAAUCUUAGACAAUGGGGGAAACCCUGAUCUAGCGAUGCCGCGUGAGUGAAGAAGGCCUUCGGGUUGUAAAGCUCUUUUACCUGUGAAGAUGAUGACGGUAGCAGGAGAAAAAGCACCAGCAAACUCUGUGCCAGCCGCCGCGGUAA
This 450-nucleotide ribosomal RNA is filed under the name uncultured bacterium. RNAcentral describes it as "partial 16S ribosomal RNA". It matches the Rfam family "Bacterial small subunit ribosomal RNA", at positions 39 to 523 of the family's 1533-position model. The record is from RNAcentral.